This 680-nucleotide ribosomal RNA is filed under the name Acarospora utahensis. RNAcentral's name for it is "partial large subunit ribosomal RNA". It matches the Rfam family "Eukaryotic large subunit ribosomal RNA", at positions 454 to 1379 of the family's 3401-position model. Lineage: Eukaryota; Fungi; Ascomycota; Lecanoromycetes; Acarosporales; Acarosporaceae. The record is from RNAcentral.
GAUCAGCCGGUAUUCGUACCGGUGCACUCGCCCGUGGUCAGGCCAGCAUCGGUUUGGGCGGCUGGAUAAAGUCCACCGGAACGUAGCUCCUCUCGGGGAGUGUUAUAGCCGGAGGUGCCAUGCAGCCCGCCCGGACCGAGGACCGCGCUUCGGCUAGGAUGCUGGCGUAAUGGUUGUAAGCGACCCGUCUUGAAACACGGACCAAGGAGUCUAACAUCUAUGCGAGUGUUUGGGUGUCAAACCCAUGCGCGUAAUGAAAGUGAACGGAGGUGGGAACCCUCAAGGGUGCACCAUCGACCGAUCCGGAUGUCUUCGGAUGGAUUUGAGUAAGAGCAUAGCUGUUGGGACCCGAAAGAUGGUGAACUAUGCCUGAAUAGGGUGAAGCCAGAGGAAACUCUGGUGGAGGCUCGCAGCGGUUCUGACGUGCAAAUCGAUCGUCAAAUUUGGGUAUAGGGGCGAAAGACCAAUCGAACCAUCUCUAGGUGGUUAAUUCAGAUGCGGUCAGACGCAUCUUCAGUCUUCUUCAAGGCGACAUCGUCACUUGCGUGAACCUUUCAUUGGAAAUUAACACGCCGCAGUGUGUCCUGCACUGUACACAGACCAGAUGACGGUGGUCGACGCUGUCCCUUCAGCGUCGAUUCAGAUAUGGCCGAGACCGCCUUAGUGUAGUGGCCCCGAAG